GUGUGUGUGUAUAUGUGUGUGUGUGUAUAUACACACACACACACACACACACACACA
Molecule: microRNA precursor, 57 nt
Filed under: Podarcis lilfordi (Lilford's wall lizard)
Lineage: Eukaryota; Metazoa; Chordata; Lepidosauria; Squamata; Lacertidae
Source: RNAcentral